RNAcentral lists this ribosomal RNA (253 nucleotides) under uncultured bacterium. Its description in RNAcentral is "partial 16S ribosomal RNA". It matches the Rfam family "Bacterial small subunit ribosomal RNA", at positions 524 to 776 of the family's 1533-position model. The record is from RNAcentral.
UACGUAGGUGGCAAGCGUUGUCCGGAUUUAUUGGGCGUAAAGCGAGUGCAGGCGGCUCGAUAAGUCUGAUGUGAAAGCCUUCGGCUAAACCGGAGAAUUGCAUCAGAAACUGUCGAGCUUGAAUACAGAAGAGGAGAGUGGAACUCCAUGUGUAGCGGUGAAAUGCGUAGAUAUAUGGAAGAACACCGGUGGCGAAGGCGGCUCUCUGGUCUGUUACUGACGCUGAGGCUCGAAAGCAUGGGUAGCGAACAGG